Molecule: transfer RNA, 71 nt
Filed under: Agromyces hippuratus
Lineage: Bacteria; Bacillati; Actinomycetota; Actinomycetes; Micrococcales; Microbacteriaceae
Description: tRNA-OTHER
Source: RNAcentral
GGCGAUGGCCGAGGCCUGGGGCAAGGAGCCCGUCGAGAUCGGCGUCGGCGGUUCGAUCCCGUUCAUCGCCG